GGGGCCGUAGUCUAGCCUGGUAGGACUCAGGGCUGGGGGUCCUGAAGCCCGAGUUCAAAUCUCGGCGGCCUCA
Molecule: transfer RNA, 73 nt
Filed under: Candidatus Iainarchaeum sp.
Lineage: Archaea; Nanobdellati; Candidatus Iainarchaeota; Candidatus Iainarchaeia; Candidatus Iainarchaeales; Candidatus Iainarchaeaceae
Description: tRNA-Pro
Rfam family: tRNA
About the family: Transfer RNA (tRNA) molecules are approximately 80 nucleotides in length. Their secondary structure includes four short double-helical elements and three loops (D, anti-codon, and T loops).
Source: RNAcentral